AACUUAGCUGCACAACAAACAAGUAGCACAAACAGAUUCCUUCCCUUGAUUUCCUUGUGCCUGACUGGUUCCAUUCAUGCCGCAUGGGGAAGGCAUACAUCAAGAUCACAAUCUCUGACAGUCAUAAUUAACCUACUCAUUGUGCAGAAAUCAAAUGUUUAUUACUGCUCUUGCUACCUUACCUGACAACCGCACCGAUCAUUGUCAGAUCAAGCCACACAAAAUAAACUCCAUGUUAAUUUUAGAUGACCACAGUACGGACAUGCAUAGUCACAAGUACCCUAUUGGCGAUCAACCUGUAGUCAACUAUCCAGUACGUCACAGCAUAACCUCAAUCAGCAUCAUCCCCAGUCCUUGAUACACCGGCCUGACCUCCAGCAUUCGCAUCAUCAUCAGUUCUCUCGGCAUGGGGGCUACCUAUGGGCUCUUCAGCCUGCAGCGCCUCCGCACCUUGUUCCAGCAUCUCCUUCUCAUCAUUUUGCUGAGUACCUGCCCAAAUUAUGCAUACUCAGACUGUUGAUAUUCAGGAGUACAGGAAGAAAGCAUCAAGUACGGGGACAAAAACAAAAAAACAGACAAUACAUGCAGACUGGAGAAUCAACAUUCAGGAUUCUAGCCACAAUUCUGCAGCUAUAUAUUCACUUCAAUGGAAUUGAGAUAUAUAACAGCAAACACUCGCUUUAUGAGCUCAUUGUCAUUCGCAAUACAUAGCCAGAGAUGUACAAAUAAAGAGAUGAGUCAUAAAAGAACUUAAGAGCCAUAAAAAGCAAUGGUAGCUUUGUGUUGCAGGAAUUGAAAUUUUACCACAUAAAUGGAUAACAUAAGUCCCGCUUUUGACUGGAAAAAGGUGAAACACACCAAAGGUGAAGUGUGGUAGCAGUGUCCUUUAACUUGUACGCCUUCUGCAUCAGGUAGUCCGUAAAUAUAAAAAUAAUUAUCGUAAUCUAGUGUUUCUUACGAUUUCAAGAUGCCUCCAAAAUGCUACUUGUACUGAGCACAAACUUUUUUUUUACUUCUCUGAUCACCUUAGAGUUUUGCCA
This 1040-nucleotide long non-coding RNA is filed under the name Triticum aestivum (bread wheat). RNAcentral's name for it is "long non-coding RNA (TAES_LNC007252)". Lineage: Eukaryota; Viridiplantae; Streptophyta; Magnoliopsida; Poales; Poaceae. The record is from RNAcentral.